CUUGGGGAGCAUAGUGUCCAGGAAAGCACCUCCCCUCAGCUCUGAUGCAAUGGCACAAGUGUUCUGCCAGGAGGAAAGGCAGCCCAUAAGGACAAAGAGCUUCAGACCCGUGCUUGAGGACACAGACUUUACUGGAAGGGAGCCCGGAGAACUGCCUAAGGGUGUGUGGAAAACUACAGAGGCCUUGAUGUAGCGCAAUUAAGAGGAGCUUAGUAGUUCCAAGGUGCAGCAAAAUGACAGAACAACUGGGAGAGUAACAGAGAACCAUGGAAAGAGAGAAGAGCCUUCCCAAAAGCUCACUCAAGUCCAGGGGUCAGGAAGGCUGUGCACAUGUACCUGGCUGCUGGGGGCAAAACUGAAAACAUCCCCAGCCACGCAGAGGCCUUUUGAUGCAGGACAGAUGCCUCAUCAGCACAGAGGCCUUCAGCAGGUCCUCUGACCAAACACUGACCGAACAAUGAACUACAGUGAGGUGGGAUAAUGCCUAGGAAGCCAGGAUUGGAAAUAAAACCACACUCGUCUCCAGGAGCUGGGGAGAAGCCCAGCGAGUUUCAAUAGGACAGUUUCUACCUGCUGUGAUGCUAAAUGUGCCAAUUCCUUAUUUGCACGAGGAAGAAACCAGCUGGGAAUUUUGGAUACACAAGCUCCUUUUCCCCAUAUCCUUGAGGCUGCCAUGAGCCUUUUCACCACCUGACUCUCACCCUGAAGAGUGUGUUGCCACCUGCAAUAAAUGAACAACCUCAUUGCCUUUUCUGUGUGUCUUGUCUAAUUCUUUGUAUGCAGUGCCAAGAACCUUGAAAGAAAUCCUGCAGGACCCACCACUGGGCAAUUUUUGUACGUAUGGAGCCCCCAAAUGUAGCCUUAUUUGGAAGUAGGGCCUCUGAAGAUAUAAUUUGUUAAGAUGAAGUUAUAAGAUUAUUAUGGAUUUGGGCCAGGGAUUUAGCAAAAGCAAAAGGCCCUGAGUUGAAACCCCAGUACCAAAAAAAAAAAAAAAAGAUUAUUAUGAAUCCAUGCCUGGCAUAGUGGGACAUGCCUGCAAUCCCAGCACUUAGGACGCUGAGGCAGGAGAAUUGCAAAUUUGAGGCCAGACUGGGGCACUUAGUAAGAUCCUAUUUCAAAAUUUUUAAAUGUUAAAAGGGCUGAAGAUGUAGUUCAGAGAUACCACAGGCUGGGUUUGAGAGUCCCCAAGGCUGAAAUAAGGAAUCUAACCCACCCCUGUAACAGAGGUACGAAGGUUCGCUGACUCCCGUCUCAGAAAAAGAAUUUUCAGGCCUGGUCAGAAAAAGAGGAAUGAGAAGAGUUUAUUAGAGGGAGAAACAGGACACACUCAAAGGUGGACUGGGGGUGCUCAAGGAGGAGGCACGAUACAGGCCAGGGUAGGGCACACUGAAAGGCUGUCCUCAAUAUGCAUGGACUCAGAUGUGCACUCUCACAGUCUGCUAGGUUACAGUGCAAGCCCUCUACAUGGGUUUGGAGUGGAGAUAUGCGUGUGAAGUUAAGACAUGCCGUCCCCAGUGCAGCUGCUUUCUGGGCUGGAGGAAAGGGUAGUGUGCAGGUGAAAAGGGUCUUUAGGAAUUUAACACUAUUCUCUGUAAGGAUGGAGGAACAGAGUCACAUGCUAGGAUGGCCUCCAGGUGCAGGAAAAGAGCUUGUCUAGAAGCUGCAGUUUUUCUUAAAAGUACAAUUUUAAAAUCUCAAUUUCUUGGUCUCCUUUCUACCUAGUUUUAUUUCUUCUAUCCUACCUCAAGAUCCUGUUUCAAAAUUUAAAAAUGUUAUAAUAGCUAAGGAUGUAGCUUAAUGCAAAGGUCC
RNAcentral lists this long non-coding RNA (1809 nucleotides) under Heterocephalus glaber (naked mole-rat). RNAcentral describes it as "lncRNA (ENSHGLG00000034076.1)". The record is from RNAcentral. Lineage: Eukaryota; Metazoa; Chordata; Mammalia; Rodentia; Bathyergidae.